UUUCGCAAUGCCCGAAAGGGUGACGAAGCGACGCCGCGUGAGUGAGGAAGGCCUUCGGGUUGUAAAGCUCUGUCAGGAGUUAAGAAAUAUAAGUGUGUUAAUACCACAUUUAUUUGACGAAGGCCCCAAAGGAAGCCACGGCUAACUCUGUGCCAGCAGCCGCGGUAAUACAGAGGUGGCAAGCGUUGUUCGGAAUUAUUGGGCGUAAAGAGCACGUAGGUGGGUUUGUAAGUCAGAUGUGAAAGCCUUCUGUUCAACGGAAGGAUUGCAUCUGAAACUGCGAGUCUUGAGUGUAGGAGGGGAGAAUGGAACUUCUGGUGGAGCGGUGAAAUGCGUAGAUAUCAGAAGGAACGCCGGCGGCGAAAGCGAUUCUCUGGCCUAUUACUGACACUCGGUGUGCGAAAGCUAGGGGAGCAAACGGGAUUAGAUACCCCGGUAGUCCUAGCUGUAAACGAUGGGCACUAAGUAGAGGGGUUUUA
This 479-nucleotide ribosomal RNA is filed under the name uncultured anaerobic ammonium-oxidizing bacterium. Its description in RNAcentral is "bacterial SSU rRNA". It matches the Rfam family "Bacterial small subunit ribosomal RNA", at positions 364 to 833 of the family's 1533-position model. The record is from RNAcentral.